UCACAGAUGCUGGAGAACUGGGUGUG
Molecule: non-coding RNA, 26 nt
Filed under: Bos taurus (domestic cattle)
Lineage: Eukaryota; Metazoa; Chordata; Mammalia; Artiodactyla; Bovidae
Also listed under: 1 other name
Source: RNAcentral